Molecule: long non-coding RNA, 578 nt
Organism: Homo sapiens (human)
Lineage: Eukaryota; Metazoa; Chordata; Mammalia; Primates; Hominidae
Source: Ensembl
UUUAUGUGGAUUGUCUGUCUCAUGCUUGUUUCACCAGGGUAGUUACAACUAGGGUGGCAUAAUUUGACUGAUUCAAGAACUACUUCAAUAUAAAUCAAAAUAAGAGAGUCUAAAUUCUAAGUAAUUUUUUAACAGGACAAGAUUAUUUAUAAUUAUGAGUCCAUGGUAAUGAGUGAGGAAUAUUUAUUUUUAGACAGUGUUAGAGCAAAUAUGGACAAAAACGCGCCUAGUUCAACUAUGACAUAGUUGGCAGCAUGAUUAAAAGAACCACCAAAUUUCCCUAAUGCCAGUUUGAGUGUUUUAGUAAACAUUUGAGAAGAAAAUGCCAAAAAUGUUGGAAAAUACAUAAUAUUUAUUUUGCACGUGCCAAAUGUGUAUUAAUUUAUGAACAUUUAUUGUGUUUACCUUGUGUGUGCAUGGUAAGCCCAGAAGUCAUGGAAAGACAAAAUCUGCAUGGGCCAAAGGUAUAAAUUUGUAUUGCCUUUCUUUGACUAGCUAAUGUGUUUCUUGCUACUGUUCUUAAGAUAUUGUAUGUGGGUUUAUAUUUGUUUUCAAAAAUAAAUGGAAAGUUUGACAAG